This 139-nucleotide ribosomal RNA is filed under the name uncultured Thermotogae bacterium. RNAcentral describes it as "partial 16S ribosomal RNA". It matches the Rfam family "Bacterial small subunit ribosomal RNA", at positions 389 to 525 of the family's 1533-position model. The record is from RNAcentral. Lineage: Bacteria; Thermotogati; Thermotogota; Thermotogae.
CAGCGACGCCGCGUGGAGGAAGAAGUCCUUCGGGAUGUAAACUUCUGAACUAGCCGAAUAAAAGGCCUGUGGACACACAGGAGAAGAAAGUAGGCUAGGAAAAGUCCCGGCUAACUACGUGCCAGCAGCCGCGGUAAUC